ACUUAUGCACUUUUUCACGAACAAGUACGUCAAAAACGAUCAAACUUUACUCAAACUCAUCUGAUCCCUCUCUCUUUCUCUCUCUCUCUCUCUUUCUAAAGCUAGCUUUUUCUCUCCCUCUCGAGUCUUGACAUUUUUUUUUUGGUUGAGGAUGAGAGAGAGAGAGAGAGAGAGAGAGAGAGAGGGGGCCGAUCAAAGAACCACCAUCAGCAACCUUCUUUCGGGUACCGGAGUCUUUGUCUCGCCGCCGUCUUGCUGCCGGGAACUUUUGCUGCAGCUGCUUCAAGUUAAGGCCCUUAAGGUGUCUCACCUUAGGCAUAGGGGGGAUACAACACCUAACUUAAGGGGAGUGCAUUUCAAUGGUGAUCAGACUAAAGAUUGAUGAACUCAAAUGCUGUUCUGUUUUGGUUAAAUUUUGGAUUUGAGUUUUUCUUUUUUUCCUCUCGUUAAUGGACACCAACUGAAGGAUGAAGAAUGAAGCUGCAAUGUAUAAGAGAAUCCCUACUUUGGUGAUUAUUGGUGGUUUCUUAUAUCAAUAGUGGGAUUGUGAUAGCCUUUUGUACGGGGUCCAAGUGUUAACAUUGAAAGUUUCUUUAUAUGCAGUGACUAUUUAUGUA
This is a long non-coding RNA of Quercus robur (English oak), 617 nucleotides long. RefSeq lists it as uncharacterized. The transcript has 2 exons. The record is from RefSeq and is a predicted model, not a curated record. Lineage: Eukaryota; Viridiplantae; Streptophyta; Magnoliopsida; Fagales; Fagaceae.